AACGAACGCUGGCGGCAGGCUUAACACAUGCAAGUCGAGCGAGACCUUCGGGUCUAGCGGCGGACGGGUGAGUAACGCGUGGGAACGUGCCCUUCUCUACGGAAUAGCCCCGGGAAACUGGGAGUAAUACCGUAUACGCCCUUUGGGGGAAAGAUUUAUCGGAGAAGGAUCGGCCCGCGUUGGAUUAGGUAGUUGGUGGGGUAAUGGCCCACCAAGCCGACGAUCCAUAGCUGGUUUGAGAGGAUGAUCAGCCACACUGGGACUGAGACACGGCCCAGACUCCUACGGGAGGCAGCAGUGGGGAAUCUUAGACAAUGGGGGCAACCCUGAUCUAGCCAUGCCGCGUGAGUGAUGAAGGCCUUAGGGUUGUAAAGCUCUUUC
Molecule: ribosomal RNA, 381 nt
Filed under: Paracoccus marcusii
Lineage: Bacteria; Pseudomonadati; Pseudomonadota; Alphaproteobacteria; Rhodobacterales; Paracoccaceae
Description: bacterial SSU rRNA
Rfam family: Bacterial small subunit ribosomal RNA
Source: RNAcentral